Molecule: long non-coding RNA, 1754 nt
Filed under: Ficedula albicollis (Collared flycatcher)
Lineage: Eukaryota; Metazoa; Chordata; Aves; Passeriformes; Muscicapidae
Description: lncRNA (ENSFALG00000026532.1)
Source: RNAcentral
AUGGCAGGGGUGGGAUGGGAUGAGUUUGGAGCUAAAAAGUUCCCUUUGGGCAGGGCCAGGGUGUCAGAGGGCAGUGCAGCCCCAGGCACUUCGGGGAGCUCUGUCUCUNNNNCUGUCUGUGUGUCUGUCCUUCCCCAGGGCAGCUGCUCUGGGCACAGGGAACAAUUCCUGCCCAAAAUCCCAUCCAUCAAUAAUUUAGAACCAUUCCCCUUGUCCUGCCACUCUCUGCCCAUGUGCAAAACCCUUCUCUCUCCUUUCCAGAGCCCCCUUCAGGCUCUGGCAGGGGCUCUGAGGUCUCUCAGGAGUCUCCUCUCCUCCAGGCCGAGCCUCUUCCCAUCAGGGAAUUAUUUGGAUGAACUGGUCUGUAAAUCCCACACACCCUGGGGAUUAGGGUCACUUAGACAGAGCCACAAGUGGCACCCAGAAUUUCCCUUUUCCAUCUGGAACCAAGCACUUUUCUCUGUGUGUGGCCCCGUGGGCUCCUUCAAAGCAAAGAGAUUUACAAAGCGUGUAACAGCAGUUUGCAAAGGUGGGAUCAUAAAAUCAUGGAAUGGGGAGGGCUGGAAGGGAUGUCAAAAAUCUUUUCCACAUCUGCUGUGGGGAUGGGAGCCAGAGCUGGAGGCUGAGUGUGGAGUUGGUUUAAUUCAGGAUAAACCCAUUGUUGGAUAUUUGGCUCCACCUAUGGGCACUUCCUCGUACCUCUGGAAAUCUUGAUUUUAUCCCAGAAUAUUCAAGGUGGAAAAAGCCUUCAGGAGCAUCCAGUGCCACCCCAGCAGCAUCAGCAUCACCCCAAGGGCCAAAUCCAGACUCCUCCUGGACAUUCCAGAGACAGGGACUUCAAACCUCCCUGGGAAGUUCAUCCCAGUGCAGGGAAACAUAAAAUUUAGUAAAUCCUUUAGCCAUGGCAUGGUGGAGUCAUCACAGAGUUAUGGAUUGGCUGAGUUGGAGGGACCUUAAAUCCCACCCAGUGCCACCCCUGCCAUGGGGACACCUCCCCCUGUCCCAGGCUGCUCCAGCCCCAGUGUCCAGCCUGGAACUGAACAUUGCAGGGAUCCAGGGGCAGCCACAGCUGCUCUGGGAAUCCAUCCCAGCCCCUCGAUGUCAAAAAUCUUUUCCACAUCUGCUGUGGGGAUGGGAGCCAGAGCUGGAGGCUGAGUGUGGAGUUGGUUUAAUUCAGGAUAAACCCAUUGUUGGAUAUUUGGCUCCACCUAUGGGCACUUCCUCGUACCUCUGGAAAUCUUGAUUUUAUCCCAGAAUAUUCAAGGUGGAAAAAGCCUUCAGGAGCAUCCAGUGCCACCCCAGCAGCAUCAGCAUCACCCCAAGGGCCAAAUCCAGACUCCUCCUGGACAUUCCAGAGACAGGGACUUCAAACCUCCCUGGGAAGUUCAUCCCAGUGCAGGGAAACAUAAAAUUUAGUAAAUCCUUUAGCCAUGGCAUGGUGGAGUCAUCACAGAGUUAUGGAUUGGCUGAGUUGGAGGGACCUUAAAUCCCACCCAGUGCCACCCCAGCCAUGGCAGGGACACCUCCCACUGUCCCAGGCUGCCCCAGUGUCCAGCCUGGAACUGAACAUUGCAGGGAUCCAGGGGCAGCCCCAGCUGCUCUGGCAAUUCUGUGCCAGGGCCUCUCCACCUUCACAGGCAAGAUUCCUUCCCAGUUUCUAAUCCAAACCUACUCUCAGUUGGACAGCAGCAGGAAUUUUUCCCCAGCUCCCCCUCCCAGGAUGUGUUUUCCAGUCCCUUCCCCAGCUCCAAAGG